UACAGAGGGUGCAAGCGUUGUUCGGAAUUAUUGGGCGUAAAGGGUGCGUAGGCGGUGCGGUAAGUCUGUAGUGAAAUCUCUGGGCUCAACUCAGAGUCUGCUAUAGAAACUGCCGUGCUUGAGUGUGGGAGAGGUGAGUGGAAUUCCCGAUGUAGCGGUGAAAUGCGUAGAUAUCGGGAGGAACACCUGUGGCGAAAGCGGCUCACUGGACCACAACUGACGCUGAUGCACGAAAGCUAGGGGAGCAAACAGG
RNAcentral lists this ribosomal RNA (253 nucleotides) under uncultured bacterium. RNAcentral's name for it is "partial 16S ribosomal RNA". It matches the Rfam family "Bacterial small subunit ribosomal RNA", at positions 524 to 776 of the family's 1533-position model. The record is from RNAcentral.